Molecule: unclassified non-coding RNA, 252 nt
Filed under: uncultured fungus
Lineage: Eukaryota; Fungi
Description: partial contains 5.8S ribosomal RNA, internal transcribed spacer 2, and large subunit ribosomal RNA
Source: RNAcentral
AACGCACAUUGCGCCCCUUGGUUUUCCAUGGGGCAUGCCUGUUCGAGCGUCAUUUGUACCCUCAAGCUUUGCUUGGUGUUGGGUGUUUGUCCCGCGUAUUUUUUGCGCAGACUCGCCUUAAAUCAAUUGGCAGCCGGCAUGUUAGCUUGGAGCGCAGCACAUUUUGCGUCCCUUGUUGGCUUUGUUGGCCCCCAUCAAGUCUAUAUAUUUGCUCUUGACCUCGGAUCAGGUAGGGAUACCCGCUGAACUUAA